AUGCUAAAGUGCUUACUUGCCGAGUUCAUGACACAAUUCUUGAUCAUAGUAUCCAAGUCCAUUGAAGAGAACUUUGUUACUUUCGUUGGUGUCCCCAGCUUAACUAUUGGGACACAAAGCAAAGUACGUCGGCUCUCAAUGCAAGUUGAAGGGGAAGGAAACUCUAUCGUGCCGCUGAGCCUUACAUUAUAUCAUGUCCGAUCACUCAAUGUGUUUGGGGUUGCAGUGGAAAUCCCUUCAAUGAUGGAGUUCAGACAUUUGCGUAUUAUGGACUUUGGUGGAUGCCACCAAUUGGAAAACCACCAUCUUGCAAAUGUAGGGAGGCUGUUUCAGCUAAGGUACCUCAACAUUAGAAGGACAAAGGUAAGCGAGCUCCCAGAAGAAAUCGGAUGUCUACGGUGCCUAGAGAUGUUGGACAUAAGGUCCACCAAGGUAAAAGAUUUACCAGCAUGUAUUGUCAAUCUUCAAAAAUUAGCACAUUUACUUGUUAACCAAGGUGUUAGAUUUCCGGUUGGAAUUACAAAGAUGCAAGCACUCGAGACGUUGAAAUGGUGUGCCUGGCAGUCAUAUAUCUUCUGGCAAGAGCUUGGACAGCUUAAGAAUCUAAGAAAGCUGGACCUUAAUCAUGAUGGUGCGCAAGAACACAAAGAAGUUAUUGCUUCUUCUCUCCAUAAUCUAUGCACACAGAAUCUUUGUUCUCUAACUAUUUGGAAUGAUAAUGACAGCAUCUUACUGAAUACAUUGUGCACUUCUCCGUCGCUUAACAUCCAGAAACUUUCUACCCGGUCUUGUGUCCUUCCAAAGGUUCCGGAUUGGGUAGGAUAUCUUGUCAACCUGCAGAAGUUACGGUUGCAAGUGAAGAGAAUCCGGCAUGAAGAUCUCUGCAUUCUUGGAGCAUUACCCAGUCUGCUCAUUUUGUGUCUCGAAAACAAGGAGAAUGGGGAGAAUGAAUCUUUAGAUAGAAGGCUGGCAGUCAGUCGUGAAGCUGGAUUCCGAUGCCUGAGAGUGUUUACUUAUUUCGUGGAGGGAGACAGGAUGGAUCUCAUCUUUGCAUCAAGAUGUAUGCCCAAGUUAGAAAAACUGAAGACUGUCUUUCUCGGCAGUUUUACAGAUGAGUCUCACAGGAGUGCUGGUGCUUUGUAUUUCGGGAUUGAAAACCUCCCUGGCCUCCGUACUUACAAAUUUGCCAUACGUUGCUUUGGUACGAAAAGGAGCAAUGCUGACGCUGUAAAGGCUUCCGUGGAGAGAUUAGUCAGCACGCAUCCCAACAACCGCCUUAAUCUGAUCUUUGAGCAUGGCCCUGUUCAGUCAUGA
This 1314-nucleotide ribosomal RNA is filed under the name Triticum aestivum (bread wheat). RNAcentral's name for it is "partial small subunit ribosomal RNA". The record is from RNAcentral. Lineage: Eukaryota; Viridiplantae; Streptophyta; Magnoliopsida; Poales; Poaceae.